GAUGAACGCUGGCGGCGUGCCUAAUACAUGCAAGUAGAACGCUGAAGGAGGAGCUUGCUCUUCUGGAUGAGUUGCGAACGGGUGAGUAACGCGUAGGUAACCUGCCUGGUAGCGGGGGAUAACUAUUGGAAACGAUAGCUAAUACCGCAUGACAACAGUUAUUGCAUGAUAACUGUUUAAAAGGGGCAACUGCUCCACUACCAGAUGGACCUGCGUUGUAUUAGCUAGUUGGUGAGGUAACGGCUCACCAAGGCGACGAUACAUAGCCGACCUGAGAGGGUGAUCGGCCACACUGGGACUGAGACACGGCCCAGACUCCUACGGGAGGCAGCAGUAGGGAAUCUUCGGCAAUGGACGGAAGUCUGACCGAGCAACGCCGCGUGAGUGAAGAAGGUUUUCGGAUCGUAAAGCUCUGUCGUAAGAGAAGAACGAGUGUGAGAGUGGAAAGUUCACACUGUGACGGUAUCUUACCAGAAAGGGACGGCUAACUACGUG
This 495-nucleotide ribosomal RNA is filed under the name uncultured bacterium. Its description in RNAcentral is "partial 16S ribosomal RNA". It matches the Rfam family "Bacterial small subunit ribosomal RNA", at positions 28 to 507 of the family's 1533-position model. The record is from RNAcentral.